RNAcentral lists this ribosomal RNA (492 nucleotides) under uncultured bacterium. RNAcentral describes it as "partial 16S ribosomal RNA". It matches the Rfam family "Bacterial small subunit ribosomal RNA", at positions 28 to 507 of the family's 1533-position model. The record is from RNAcentral.
GAUGAACGCUAGCUACAGGCUUAACACAUGCAAGUCGAGGGGAAACGACAUCGAAAGCUUGCUUUUGAUGGGCGUCGACCGGCGCACGGGUGAGUAACGCGUAUCCAACCUGCCCAUCACUUGGGAAUAACCUUGCGAAAGUAAGACUAAUACCCAAUAAUAUCCCACGAAGGCAUCGGAAUGGGAUUAAAGAUUUAUCGGUGAUGGAUGGGGAUGCGUCUGAUUAGCUUGUUGGCGGGGUAACGGCCCACCAAGGCAACGAUCAGUAGGGGUUCUGAGAGGAAGGUCCCCCACAUUGGAACUGAGACACGGUCCAAACUCCUACGGGAGGCAGCAGUGAGGAAUAUUGGUCAAUGGGCGAGAGCCUGAACCAGCCAAGUAGCGUGCAGGAAGACGGCCCUAUGAGUUGUAAACUGCUUUUAUAAGGGAAUAAAGUGGGUCACGUGUGACUUUUUGCAUGUACCUUAUGAAUAAGGACCGGCUAAUUCCGUG